This 340-nucleotide unclassified non-coding RNA is filed under the name soil metagenome. Its description in RNAcentral is "partial contains 5.8S ribosomal RNA, internal transcribed spacer 2, and large subunit ribosomal RNA". The stretch from base 1 to 120 matches the Rfam family "5.8S ribosomal RNA", at positions 35 to 154 of the family's 154-position model. The record is from RNAcentral.
GAUGAAGAACGCAGCGAAAUGCGAUAAGUAGUGUGAAUUGCAGAAUUCAGUGAAUCAUCGAAUCUUUGAACGCACAUUGCGCCCUUUGGUAUUCCAAAGGGCAUGCCUGUUCGAGCGUCUUUUGUACCCUCAAGCUUUGCUUGGUGUUGGGCGUCUUGUCUCUAGCUUUGCUGGAGACUCGCCUUAAAGUAAUUGGCAGCCGGCCUACUGGUUUCGGAGCGCAGCACAAGUCGCACUCUCUAUCAGCAAGGUCUAGCAUCCAUUAAGCCUUUUUUUCAACUUUUGACCUCGGAUCAGGUAGGGAUACCCGCUGAACUUAAGCAUAUCAAUAAGCGGAGGA